Molecule: transfer RNA, 82 nt
Filed under: Trametes sanguinea
Lineage: Eukaryota; Fungi; Basidiomycota; Agaricomycetes; Polyporales; Polyporaceae
Description: tRNA-Asn
Rfam family: tRNA
About the family: Transfer RNA (tRNA) molecules are approximately 80 nucleotides in length.
Source: RNAcentral
UGCCCCGUGGCUGAGUUGGUUACAGCGUCCGACUGUUAAUCUGCCAAUCGGAAGGUCGUGAGUUCGAGCCUCACCGGGGCAG